UCGUGGAGUGUUCUGUCUGGUCUAUUCCGCUAACGAGCGAGAACCUACUCUUUCGAGGUUAGGCGCUCAGGCAUGCCGCGCCCCCCCUCGUGGGGGGUGUGGCUGGAAACGUCGGGGGUUCGGUCCGGGGAGACUAGCGUCGUCAAGGCGCUGGCAGAUGGUCAAUAACA
RNAcentral lists this ribosomal RNA (170 nucleotides) under uncultured eukaryote. RNAcentral describes it as "partial 18S ribosomal RNA". The record is from RNAcentral.